UGGACUGAGUGGUUUCUGUUGUGCCAAUAAGGAGGAAAAUAGAAGCUUCUUCACCUUUGAGUGCAGUCGGGUCUUCAUUCAAUGGCAGGUACUAUGGAAGUAAUUCUCCUCACCUACAAAGACAAGGGCAUGAAAGGCAGGAAUAAGACCCAACAUUGCACAAAACAAUGACACAGUGGUGAAGAUGUUCGAGAUGUUACCACUGGAACUUCUCUCACUUCACCACCCCUGAC
Molecule: long non-coding RNA, 233 nt
Organism: Eubalaena glacialis (North Atlantic right whale)
Lineage: Eukaryota; Metazoa; Chordata; Mammalia; Artiodactyla; Balaenidae
Exons: 3
Source: RefSeq, a predicted model, not a curated record